RNAcentral lists this RNase P RNA (321 nucleotides) under Moheibacter sediminis. RNAcentral's name for it is "Bacterial RNase P class A". It matches the Rfam family "Bacterial RNase P class A". From Rfam's summary of the family: Ribonuclease P (RNase P) is a ubiquitous endoribonuclease, found in archaea, bacteria and eukarya as well as chloroplasts and mitochondria. Its best characterised activity is the generation of mature 5'-ends of tRNAs by cleaving the 5'-leader elements of precursor-tRNAs. Lineage: Bacteria; Pseudomonadati; Bacteroidota; Flavobacteriia; Flavobacteriales; Weeksellaceae. The record is from Rfam by way of RNAcentral.
UCCACAAAUCGCUUUGUCGCUUUUCGUAUUUAUAUGAGAGGAGGAAAGUCCGGACACCGUAGAGCAGCAUAGCGGGUAACGCCCGUCAUUUCGGAGCAAUCCGAAAGAGGACAAGUGCAACAGAAAGCAAGUACAGUUCGGCUGUAGUGAAACCAGGUAAACUCUAUGCGGUGCAAUGCCAUGUAUAUCGGCAGUUAAGGGCUGCUCGUCCGUUGCCGAGGGGUAGGCAGAUAGAUUUCGUUGGUAACAACGAAGCAAGAUAAAUGACAAAGUUCCGAUUUAUUUCGGGAACAGAAUCCGGCUUAUAGAUUUGUUUUAUAA